GGUGCAGCCCCUGACCUCUUCUUUAGCCAGCAGUCCUUGGAUGAGUCCUUCACCAACACCUGAGCAGUAGACCGAAAAAUAUAUUCAAGCAGACCAUUGUCAGGAUGUCUCUGAAAUCUAACUCAGGAGCUGACCUCAAUGACCCAGUGGUUAAGGAACAGAUGUUGGAGCAGAUCAGAAAGGAGUUUGCGAAGAACGGGAACAUCAUCCUAGGCAUACGCUGG
Molecule: long non-coding RNA, 224 nt
Organism: Coregonus clupeaformis (lake whitefish)
Lineage: Eukaryota; Metazoa; Chordata; Actinopteri; Salmoniformes; Salmonidae
Exons: 3
Source: RefSeq, a predicted model, not a curated record